GAUGAACGCUGGCGGCGUGCCUAAUACAUGCAAGUCGAGCGAACGGACGAGAAGCUUGCUUCUCUGAUGUUAGCGGCGGACGGGUGAGUAACACGUGGAUAACCUACCUAUAAGGCUGGGAUAACUUCGGGAAACCGGAGCUAAUACCGGAUAAUAUUUUGAACCGCAUGGUUCAAAAGUGAAAGACGGUCUUGCUGUCACUUAUAGAUGGAUCCGCGCUGCAUUAGCUAGUUGGUAAGGUAACGGCUUACCAAGGCAACGAUGCAUAGCCGACCUGAGAGGGUGAUCGGCCACACUGGAACUGAGACACGGUCCAGACCCCUACGGGAGGCAGCAGUAGGGAAUCUUCCGCAAUGGGCGAAAGCCUGACGGAGCAACGCCGCGUGAGUGAUGAAGGUCUUCGGAUCGUAAAACUCUGUUAUUAGGGAAGAACAUAUGUGUAAGUAACUGUGCACAUCUUGACGGUACCUAAUCAGAAAGCCACGGCUAACUACGUG
Molecule: ribosomal RNA, 497 nt
Filed under: uncultured bacterium
Lineage: Bacteria
Description: partial 16S ribosomal RNA
Rfam family: Bacterial small subunit ribosomal RNA
Source: RNAcentral